This 253-nucleotide ribosomal RNA is filed under the name uncultured bacterium. RNAcentral describes it as "partial 16S ribosomal RNA". It matches the Rfam family "Bacterial small subunit ribosomal RNA", at positions 524 to 776 of the family's 1533-position model. The record is from RNAcentral.
UACGUAGGGGGCAAGCGUUAUCCGGAUUUACUGGGUGUAAAGGGAGCGUAGACGGCAGUGCAAGUCUGGAGUGAAAGGCGGGGGCUCAACCCCCGGACUGCUCUGGAAACUGUACGGCUGGAGUGCAGGAGAGGUAAGUGGAAUUCCUAGUGUAGCGGUGAAAUGCGUAGAUAUUAGGAGGAACACCAGUGGCGCAGGCGGCUUACUGGACUGUAACUGACGUUGAGGCUCGAAAGCGUGGGGAGCAAACAGG